This 447-nucleotide ribosomal RNA is filed under the name uncultured bacterium. RNAcentral's name for it is "bacterial SSU rRNA". It matches the Rfam family "Bacterial small subunit ribosomal RNA", at positions 330 to 794 of the family's 1533-position model. The record is from RNAcentral.
CCCAGACUCCUACGGGAGGCAGCAGUAGGGAAUUUUGCGCAAUGGGCGGAAGCCUGACGCAGCAACACCGCGUGAAUGUUAAGCCCUUCGGGGUGUAAAGUUCUGUCAAUAGGGACGAAUUUUGACUGUACCUAUAAAGGAAGCACCGGCUAACUCCGUGCCAGCAGCCGCGGUAAUACGGGGGGUGCAAGCGUUGUCCGGAAUCAUUGGGCGUAAAGCGUUCGUAGGCGGCAAGGUAAGUCUGAUGUUAAAGCCCGGGGCUCAACUCCGGUUCGGCAUUGGAUACUAUCUAGCUAGAAUGUGGUGGAGGUAAAGGGAAUUCCUGGUGUAGCGGUGAAAUGCGUAGAUAUCAGGAGGAACAUCGGUGGCGAAAGCGCUUUACUGGGCCAUUAUUGACGCUGAGGAACGAAAGCCAGGGGAGCAAAUGGGAUUAGAUACCCGAGUAGA